Molecule: ribosomal RNA, 399 nt
Filed under: alpha proteobacterium Dell 5
Lineage: Bacteria; Pseudomonadati; Pseudomonadota; Alphaproteobacteria
Description: bacterial SSU rRNA
Rfam family: Bacterial small subunit ribosomal RNA
Source: RNAcentral
GUCCGCACGAGCGCACCCUCGCCCUUAGUUGCCAGCAUUUAGUUGGCCACUCUAGGGGGACUGCCGGUGAUAAGCCGGAGGAAGGUGGGGAUGACGUCAAGUCCUCAUGGCCCUUACGGGCUGGGCUACACACGUGCUACAAUGGCGGUGACAGUGGGCAGCGACCUCGCGAGAGGAAGCUAAUCUCCAAAAGCCGUCUCAGUUCGGAUUGUUCUCUGCAACUCGAGAGCAUGAAGUUGGAAUCGCUAGUAAUCGCGUAACAGCAUGACGCGGUGAAUACGUUCCCGGGCCUUGUACACACCGCCCGUCACACCAUGGGAGUUGGUUUUACCCGAAGGCGCUGUGCUAACCGCAAGGAGGCAGGCGACCACGGUAGGGUCAGCGACUGGGGUGAAGUCU